CUGCUGGAGAUGCUGGUUGGGGAGGAGUUUGGCCUUCUGAGGAGGAAGUCCCAGAGCAGACUUUGGCUCAACUCUAAGCUCUGAGAUUUUUAGGAAGCGAAGGGGCAGAAGAAGCGACUCACAAGCUCCUGGAGCCGUGUUGGGAGGGGCCCUCGGGGCCCCUGGAGUGGAGAGACACACCCAGAGGCUUUCCAGCCACCCAGGGAGGAGGCGCGGUGGCUGGGAUUUGGAGACAGCUGUGGAGGUGGGUGCAGGAGGCCGGGUUCUCUGUAUUUCCAGACUAGAGGCAGCGGCAGCUAUUGGUGUGGGGUGGGAGGGGAGAGCAGCUGGGACAUAGAAACAUUCCGAACCUAUGAUAAGCUCCCUG
Molecule: long non-coding RNA, 367 nt
Filed under: Homo sapiens (human)
Lineage: Eukaryota; Metazoa; Chordata; Mammalia; Primates; Hominidae
Description: non-protein coding lnc-DNAJB6-7:6
Source: RNAcentral